CCCUGGCUAGAGAUGAUUACACACACACACACACUUAGAGGGUGUGUAUAAACAGGGCCGGCGCUCCGCACACGCACAUCACGCACUGCGCGUAGGGCACCAAGUGCUUGGGGGGGCACCAAAAAAUCUGGGUCGUGAAAAAAUCAUCACAAUAGGCUACUAGUAUAAAUAACAAAUAAAAUAUUUCUAAAAAGCAUGUUAAUAUACAAAAGCAAUACAAAAGUAAUAUAGGCCUAGACCAAAUUAGUCGAGAAAAAGGUGAAUCUCUGUGCCAGUCUCCCUCUGGUGCUCCCCCUUCCCCACCUCCCAGUGGUCUGUGCGAUUAUGCCUCAAUCAAUGUCAAAUUUGGCAGACACCUACCUCAGACAUGGCCUCGAAAAGGCACCAAGAGUCGGGGGCGGAAAAAAGAAAAAAGAAGAGACAGCGGGAUGAUGCUCGCGCGUCGCUUGCAGUCUUGGCAGGUGCUGGUUUCAGCAGUGUUGUAGCACAGUAUGUGAGCAUCUCUGGGUCACUGCAUUCAGCGCUGGAGAAGAACUGGAAUGAGGGAUUAUGAAGAACUGUUAGUGCUCAUCCAUCCAUUCCCUCCCUCAGGACAUGCACAUUAGAAAGACCUAAGAAAAUCAAACAGCCCCAGGCUCUGGCUCUCAUAAGCCUGAAUCCCAGAGGUCUUUAAAGAAGGAAGAUGUAUGGAUGAAGAAGACAGUGAGAUGGGGAAGUCAAUACUGAGAAUUCAAUGGAAAGUUUACACUAUUUAGUCUGGAGAGAAGCGAUACCUGCAGUUUACAGCUCAUUCUGGGAUUGAAGGGUCACACAUUGUGCAAGAUUGGGCAAAAUACAGACUUCAAAUUCAAACUGUCAAAAAUGCGAAUUCAAACAGUUACAUAAUAGAAGAAUUGAAUUAGUCAAACAAACUAAAAUUAGUAACAUAUUAUACGGUUUCUAUAUUAUACGUGAUAUAUGUUAUAUAUUAUAUCUGAAAUUAGCAUUAUGUAAAACACACAUUAUGCCUAAAUUCACACACACACUGCUGUAUUUAAAAGAUUGCAGUAGCUAAGAUUCUAUAAUAUUUUGUAAAGACGUGUCUUAUGCUCACCAAAGCAGCAUUGAUGAAAAAUACAGUAAAAACAGUAAUAUUGUGAAAUAUUAUUAUAAUUUAAAAGGCUGUUUUCUAAUUUAAUAUAUUAAUAAAAUGUAAUUUAUUCCUGUGAUGUAAAGUUGAAGUAUUAGCAUCAUUACUCCAGUCUUCAGUGUCACAUGAUACUACAGAAAUCAUUAUAAUAUGCUGAUUUGCUGCUCAAGAACUAAUGUUUCUAAAUAUGUUGCAUGUAUAAACAUGUUAAUGAGUAAUUCAUACUGAAAAUUAAAAACUUACAGUGGUUAUAUGAAUUUCUUUGGAUUUCAUUAAAUUUGAAUUCUUGUUCCUUAAAUUCUAACUCAAGAAUAGAAUUAAAAGGCAGUUCUCGCUGUGAUUCUGGUGCACAAAGCUGCUGCAGCCUUUCCUGAUCCCACAACCUUUAGUGAUAAGAACGUGUCUGAGAGUGAAAACACGUGUGCAGCGUUACACAAUGGUGAUCAACAAGACACAGGGAUUGUAAAGUCCACGGUGUGAGUGGAAUCUCCUUUGCUCAGAAAUGUUUGUGUCAACUUGUAAGCCUGUGAUGUAACUCUGUGUGUACUAGAAAACAUACUGUUCACCAAGAGUGAUAUAUUCCGACAGGACUUGCGUGUGUGUUUGUGUGUGUGUGUGUGUGUGUGUGUGUGUGUGUGUGUGUGUGUGUGUGUGUGUGUUAAGGUGGUCAAGACAGAUCGUGUGGCAGCUUGAGCACAAUCGCACACACACAUACGCACACACACUGCUUCAGGCCAAACAGAAUGUGGCACACCGGCAUCAGAUUAAGACCUGAGAUUCAUGCCCUUUAAAUCCUGCACUGUCAAAAUUUCAGCAAGGGAGAUCUGAAGAGAGCCGUUACAUAACACACUGAACAUACAGCUGACACCAGCUCUGUUCAAAAUCCCAGUGAGCUGCCUGAUUGUCUGCUGUCUACAUAGACUGUUACCCUCUUAGGGGCCAUUCACACAGCACGCCUUUUUUGCAUCUAAAACAAUAAAACAAAGCACAACUGAAUUGAGUAGAAAGUAAACUCUGCAUAGGCAACCGCAAGCUUUAGCAAGCUAGUUGUGAGAAUAAGCAUUGUCAUUCAAAGAACAUGCAAAUGUUGAAUAAAUCAUUCCAUUUUAUUUGAUACUUUUCAGGAUUCAGUGAUUCAUUUUGGUCGAUGUUCCUCGAAGUAAAAAGAAGCUAGGGAUCUUUAUCAUGUUGUUUACACACCCUGCUAAUUAUAUUAGUCUCUAAAUAAAUGGCACCUCUUUGUAUCACAGCCUGAAUACAGCACACCCUACAGGUGUGUCCCUGAACUGCAAUCACAGGUGGUCUGUGCUUUACACUGAGAGAACUAUCACACUACUCUUAUUCUGCAGCAAGCUUCUUUUUUUUCAUUUAAGUAGGACUUAAACAUUUGUAUAUUAAUUUUACUGUAGCAUAUUGUUUUUGAAACGGUUAAAAUGUAGGCCUACUGCUGAAUGCACAGACAAAUGUAGCCUUUAUGAUAAACUAAAGUAUGCUUUGAUAUUAUUUCUCAUAAAUGUCAUGUAUUUAAAUAGAUUUGUAAUGUACAGUAAAUGUGUAAAGAUGAGAGCGUGUUCUCCGUAAGUUCACUUAAGUGGCCUCUUAUUUCAUGAAUGUUAUAUCAUCUGCAAGUUCAGUUUUUAAAAAUAUACUUUUAAUAUUUGAAGUACAUUACAAGUACACUAUGCCACAGAUUCAGUUCUUGAUUAAAGGGCUCAGACAGCCCAAAUCCUGCUGCAGUUUGCAUACUGGCUUCAGAGGACAGUAAUUGAUAUUGACAACCAAAAUGCGAGUGUCUGUCAUCCCAGCGCAUCUGAGAUUGCCUUUCUGUCACGUGUGUCACAUUCCCACCUGUGUCAGUAAUUCUCACAUUCACUCCAAACAGUUGUGUUCUCAAUCCGGCCAAUCAGCUGUACUCACACUCACU
Molecule: long non-coding RNA, 3053 nt
Organism: Cyprinus carpio carpio
Lineage: Eukaryota; Metazoa; Chordata; Actinopteri; Cypriniformes; Cyprinidae
Source: Ensembl